RNAcentral lists this ribosomal RNA (465 nucleotides) under Vreelandella stevensii. RNAcentral's name for it is "partial 16S ribosomal RNA". It matches the Rfam family "Bacterial small subunit ribosomal RNA", at positions 338 to 795 of the family's 1533-position model. Lineage: Bacteria; Pseudomonadati; Pseudomonadota; Gammaproteobacteria; Oceanospirillales; Halomonadaceae. The record is from RNAcentral.
CCUACGGGGGGCUGCAGUGGGGAAUAUUGGACAAUGGGCGAAAGCCUGAUCCAGCCAUGCCGCGUGUGUGAAGAAGGCCUUCGGGUUGUAAAGCACUUUCAGUGGGGAAGAAAGCCUUGGGGCUAAUACCCUCGAGGAAGGACAUCACCCACAGAAGAAGCACCGGCUAACUCCGUGCCAGCAGCCGCGGUAAUACGGAGGGUGCGAGCGUUAAUCGGAAUUACUGGGCGUAAAGCGCGCGUAGGCGGUCUGAUAAGCCGGUUGUGAAAGCCCCGGGCUCAACCUGGGAACGGCAUCCGGAACUGUCAGGCUAGAGUGCAGGAGAGGAAGGUAGAAUUCCCGGUGUAGCGGUGAAAUGCGUAGAGAUCGGGAAGAAUACCAGUGGCGAAGGCGGCCUUCUGGACUGACACUGACGCUGAGGUGCGAAAGCGUGGGUAGCAAACAGGAUUAGAUACCCGAGUAGUC